GUUGUUUCGUAUUUGUAGUAGAACGAAACGUAUCAAGAGGCUCGGAUAAAUCGGAGGGAAGAAGCUAUCUACUGUUGGUUAAAGAGAGAUAGCACUUAUCCGUGAUUGUGAAACGCAAACUAAGGACAGAUACGCUCUUGCUGAUAUUCGGAGAUAGCUAUCUAUCCGAAAACUCAGAUACGUUAUUGAAAACGGCCGUUAACCACUGCCAAAUAUGAAUGCGAACCUACCUACCGUCAGCAAAAAAAAGCGUUAAAUCAUAACUACACAACACUAUUUUUAGAUUGGUCUUUUUUUCAUUUGUGGCCAUAUCUAGUACCGUAAAAGCAAUAUAUAUGUAAGUAGUUGGAGCCAAAACAAUAGAGCAUUUCACACUACAUGUUCAUAUGCAAAUUAGAGGACGGAAAGACUUACUGAAAACGUGGAAACUAUGUGGGCUGGCAACAUUUACGUUGUCGAUGUCUAUGGACUCCAGUAACUACUUAACACCAGGUGGACCGAGAGCUCCUUUACUCAUCUAAAAAAAGGUAUGGAUUUUUUACAAAAACAUAAAGAAUGUCGUGGACUUGUUCUACAAGUAUUUAUCAAUUUAGUGAGUUUUCAAAUUUGUACUAAAAUAUUAUGUUUUACAAAAAUAUUCAGAUAUUUAAAGCAGACAAAAAUAAACCCUAAUUAUUUGUCGAGUAUUAGUACUACUGUUUGUAAGAACUAUCUACAAAUUUCCCAUCAGUUUUGUUCAAAUUACUCAUACAAGGGUGUAAAGGAACAGUUUCCGAAACUCAAAGAGCAUUGCACGUAAAGAGGUUUAAGAUAAAAAAUUGUGAGGGUUAGCCAUUUUCCUCCGCCAGGCGGCAGUAGGCGGAGGCAGCCGACAGAACCUUCUGGAAGCCCCGCCCCAGUAUUCUCUACGAAAGCAGCGCACGCCCUCGUUUUCGAGAACUGUUCCCGUACUGUAUUUAUAAGACAACAUUUUUAAACAAAGUCCAUAACAAAUUUUAAAUCAAGUCGUCUAGUAAAAUUAUUUAUUCAAAAUUAACAAUUCUAAUGCAAAUAGGCUCAUAUAAAAAAAAACAAAAGUGUUGCCUUAUAAACUGUAUUAAAAACUACUAAAUUAGUAUAAUUAAUAUAUGAUUAGUACCUGGUGUUUAGUAACCUGCCAGUUAUUCUUUGGGCCUUCCCUAGUCUCAUACAUACUGACCGGUCGCUGCGAGCCCUUGGCCGGCCUCACGUCGACCUCGCGGCCCAGCUCGGACUCGAGACUCUUGCCGCGCUCCUGCGCCGCGAAGCCAUCGAGACCACUACAGCUCUCCCCGGUCAGUGACGUCACACUGUCGUCAUCGAUGCUGCUCGUCUUCAAAACGCUGUUCUCUUUAGUCAAUCUCUCGACUAUGGUUUGUAGAUUCCUCAACUGAGUUUUUAGCUCGUCUAUGGUCGAGUCUUUGUCGUGCAGUUCUUUUUUUAAAUGCUGUAUCUGGUCGUCUCGUUCCGGCGUGGCCUGAGCCGGACAGCUGGGCGACUGGGUGCGGCGCGGGUCGGCGAUGGGUGACUGUUCAGUGGGCAAGCCCGGGCUGUACGUCGCCGACACGGCGUCCCCUCGCCGCGGGGUCACUGUCGAUAGCUGUUGAUUACGGAGAGGAAUACUAACGUCGAGUUCGAUGGGCGCCAGGGCCGCGUAGUCCUCGUCCGAAGCGACCGAGUCGUAGAGCGGCUCGUCGUCCGACAUCUGCGACACGUGCCGCAAGUGGCUCGCGGACAGCAGCGGAUUCAGGGGACCCGACAUCGCUGUGUGCACAAUACAUUUGUCUGUCACACUACGCAAUCUAUCAUGUGCUGAGUUAUGGAAAAUCAAUAAAAAUAAAGUGAGAAACAUAUUAAUUAAAAACAAAUAAUUGACAGCACUCAACAGAAUGUGUAUUCGAGGGGUGCAAGGCUGUUUGGUUUAAGCGACAUUUAAGAGUUGAGGUGACGUGGCGGGUACCUGCGGGCUGCAGCGCGGCCAUGCGCUGUCGUCGCGUGGCGUCGAGCAGCACGUCGCGCAGCAGGGCGGCGAGCUCGCGCGGCGACAGGCGGGCCAGCUUCUGGCGGCCCUGGUUGCGCGGCGCCGACAGCGCGGGGUUCACCGGCAGGAACGCGGCGCCGCUGCGCUCCAGCCCCGACGCGCUCGUCUGCCAGACUGCGGCAACGGACACGCACAGUUUCCCUCUGGCGGCUUUGGCGACGUCGGUCAUCUCGUGCGUGUCGUGGGCUCGCGGCACGAUGUAGUGUCUGCCGGCCGCGUGGUCGGGCUUCUCGCCGGUCAGGAAGUGGAUCAUGCGGUCCGUGGCCUCGUACACCAGCUCCGUCAUGCGCUCCGCCAACUCCGCAUGCCCCCCCUGCCUGUGGAGCACACUCCGAGUGUUCAGUGAACGGAUAAUAAAUAUCCCAUUUAAUAAAUAUGCUUAGUGUAGGUUACAUGAAACCAUCCAGUUCUGGGUCAAGGGAGAACGUGUCGAAGUGUGAUCUAUGAGCUCAGGUAAAAAACGUAUUAAGAAAUAAUUUAGAUUUACCUGUUGAUACUCUGAAAUGUAUUUUUUUGUGGAAAUAAAAAGAGAUAAGAAUGUCUCGUUCCAAUAAA
This is a long non-coding RNA of Bombyx mori (domestic silkworm), 2614 nucleotides long. RefSeq lists it as uncharacterized. Lineage: Eukaryota; Metazoa; Arthropoda; Insecta; Lepidoptera; Bombycidae. The transcript is spliced from 5 exons. The record is from RefSeq and is a predicted model, not a curated record.